AGAUUGAACGCUGGCGGAAUGCUUUACACAUGCAAGUCGAGCGGCAGCGCGGGGCAACCUGGCGGCGAGCGGCGAACGGGUGAGUAAUGCAUCGGAACGUGUCCAUGUCGUGGGGGAUAGCCCGGCGAAAGCCGGAUUAAUACCGCAUACGCCCGAGAGGGGAAAGUGGGGGACCGCAAGGCCUCACGCGAUUGGAUCGGCCGAUGUCCGAUUAGCUAGUUGGCGGGUAAAGCCCACCAAGGCGAUGAUCGGUAGCUGGUCUGAGAGGAUGAUCAGCCACACUGGGACUGAGACACGGCCCAGACUCCUACGGGAGGCAGCAGUGGGAAUUUUGGACAAUGGGGGCAACCCUGAUCCAGCCAUUCCGCGUGAGUGAAGAAGGCCUUCGGUUGUAAAGCUCUUUGUCCGGAACGAAACGGUAGCGUGAAUAUCGCUGCCUACUCGACGGUACCGGAAGAAUAAGCACCGGCUAACUACGUGCCAGCAGCCGCGGUAAUCUA
Molecule: ribosomal RNA, 500 nt
Filed under: uncultured soil bacterium
Lineage: Bacteria
Description: bacterial SSU rRNA
Rfam family: Bacterial small subunit ribosomal RNA
Source: RNAcentral